ACUCAAAGGAAUAGACGGGGGCCCGCACAAGCGGUGGAUUAUGUGGUUUAAUUCGAAGCAACGCGCAGAACCUUACCUAGGUUUGACAUCCCAUGACAUCCUAAGAAAUUAGGCUUUGUAGCAAUACACAUGGAGACAGGUGCUGCAUGGCUGUCGUCAGCUCGUGUUGUGAAAUGUUGGGUUAAGUCCCGCAACGAGCGCAACCCCUGUGGUCUGUUGCCAGCAUUAAGUUGGGCACUCUGACCAGACCGCCGGCGUUAAGCCGGAGGAAGGUGGGGAUGACGUCAAGUCCUCAUGGCCCUUACACCUAGGGCUACACACGUAAUACAAUGGGUAGGACAAAGGGACGCCAACCAGCAAUGGGGAGCUAAUCUCAAAAACCUGCCCUCAGUUGGGAUUGGAGGCUGCAAUUCGCCUCCAUGAACGCGGAAUCGCUAGUAAUCGUGGAUCAGCACGCCACGGUGAAUACGUUCCCGGGCCUUGUACACACCGCCCGU
This 497-nucleotide ribosomal RNA is filed under the name uncultured bacterium. RNAcentral's name for it is "partial 16S ribosomal RNA". It matches the Rfam family "Bacterial small subunit ribosomal RNA", at positions 899 to 1397 of the family's 1533-position model. The record is from RNAcentral.